AGUGGCAGACGGGUGAGUAAUGUAUAGGAAUCUACCUAGUAGUACGGAAUAAUUGUUGGAAACGGCAACUAAUACCGUAUACGCCCUACGGGGGAAAAAUUUAUUGCUAUUAGAUGAGCCUAUAUUAGAUUAGUUAGUUGGUGAGGUAAAGGCUUACCAAGACAAUGAUCUAUAGCUGAUCUGAGAGGAUGAUCAGCCACACUGGAACUGAGAUACGGUCCAGACUCCUACGGGAGGCAGCAGUGGGGAAUAUUGGACAAUGGGCGAAAGCCUGAUCCAGCCAUGCCGCAUGAGUGAAGAAGGCCUUCGGGUUGUGAAGCUCUUUUAGUGAGGAAGAUAAUGACGGUACUCACAGAAGAAGUCCUGGCUAACUCCGUGCCAGCAGCCGCGGUAAUACGGAGAGGGCUAGCGUUAUUCGGAAUCAUUGGGCGUAAAGGGCGCGUAGGCGGGUUAGUAAGUUAAAAGUGAAAUCCCAAGGCUCAACCUUGGAACUGCUUUUAAAACUGCUAGUCUAGAGAUUGAAAGAGGAUAGAGGAAUUCCUAGUGUAGAGAUGAAAUUCGUAAAUAUUAGGAGGAACACCAGUGGCGAANGCGUCUAUCUGGUUCAAAUCUGACGCUGAGGCGCGAAGGCGUGGGGAGCAAACAGGAUUAGAUACCCUGGUAGUCCACGCUGUAAACGAUGAAUGUUAAAUAUGGGAAGUUUACUUUCUGUAUUAUAGCUAACGCGUUAAACAUUCCGCCUGGGGACUACNGUCGC
RNAcentral lists this ribosomal RNA (757 nucleotides) under uncultured Wolbachia sp. Its description in RNAcentral is "bacterial SSU rRNA". It matches the Rfam family "Bacterial small subunit ribosomal RNA", at positions 94 to 889 of the family's 1533-position model. The record is from RNAcentral. Lineage: Bacteria; Pseudomonadati; Pseudomonadota; Alphaproteobacteria; Rickettsiales; Anaplasmataceae.